ACUUUCCCUUUUGCGCCGCGCUCUGUCUUCUCCGCGCUCGCGGGCCUGACCCUAGCGGCAUCCCCAGUACCUUGAUCCGGCGGGGGGCGCGCCACAGGAGAGCCAGGAGGGCGGGAGAUCCCCGUACGAGGACCGGGCUGAGGCGAGGCAGUGGGGGAAAUGGAGCCGGGGUAUCAUUCAUUCUAUUUUAUUUAACUUUAAGCAGGGCUUGAUCAGAAAGAAGAGCUCAGAGGAGUGAGGCAACACCAACACCAGGGCGUACGAUACACCCGAGGCUCCUCCGACACCAGUUCCAGCCCGGAAGGGCUUGGAAUGGCCUGCCACGCCGGGGCAAUGGAGCGCGUGAAAGCCAAACCUUGGGACCCGAAGAGUAAUUUGACUGCGAAGGCACCGUCAUCGUCGGGCACCCCCUGUAGACGGGCGCAUAAUAGCUACAUCUCUGGAGAUAGUGAUGGAAACUGGGGUCCGAUAGAUGGAGAGAAGGACGUAGGAUAAGGCUUCUUGUGGGGUGAAGAGGCAGAGGGCACCUGGAGAGAGGUGUGGCAUGGAGAACCAGGGGUUUUCCCUAGCAGAGGGCGGCUUCGUGGACUUCGGCCAACCGGCGGGUGCUUCCCUCGAGCGGCCGCUAGAUGGUGGUGCUGUUCUGGAUGCUUCCAGUGGGCCCCGACCAGGUCUGGACAAUGCCUGGCGCCCGUCCCCCGCCCCUCAUCUACACACACGCAAGAAUUCGGAGCUCCAUGGGGAACAGAAGCAAGAUAUCCGUAAAAUCAAAGUCUAGGGGGUGGGAAUGAAAAGGGAAAAGUGAGGAACGGGGAGCCAAACCCAGGAAGACGCCUCUGUUCCUGCACAUUCCCUCUCC
RNAcentral lists this long non-coding RNA (859 nucleotides) under Homo sapiens (human). RNAcentral's name for it is "HSALNT0388321". Lineage: Eukaryota; Metazoa; Chordata; Mammalia; Primates; Hominidae. The record is from RNAcentral.